Musa acuminata subsp. malaccensis (wild Malaysian banana) is the source of this 490-nucleotide non-coding RNA. The record is from RefSeq and is a predicted model, not a curated record. Lineage: Eukaryota; Viridiplantae; Streptophyta; Magnoliopsida; Zingiberales; Musaceae.
UCAAACUGAUUCCGAAGAAUACAUGCGAUACAUCAAGGAUCCAUAUAAGUAUGACACAAAUGUACCUCCAGAAUAAGGGCAUUGGUCUUCCUUGGUCAAUGAAAGGUCUCUGCGCCAGUUUAUGCUUCCUUUAUAUAAUAUUUUGCGAAUAAAGGUAUUUGAUGCCGGGAUUUAAUGGUUUCAUCUUUUAUUAUUUAUUUAUGAUAAGUUUUGAUUAACAUAUGAAUCACGGUGUUUAUUGGACUGUGGGUUGCUUAUAUCAGAUUAUCUUUAAGUUUUUCUGAGUGUGCGGUUGAAACAUGAUGGAUCGGUUAUUGAUUAAAUUAUAUAAUUAAUCUAUUAAGAUCACUGUAUGUUUAGAUUAUUUACUAUGUUAUUUGGAUUGAAAUAUUGAGAAUUCUUAGGAAGUUGUUAAAUCUAUUGUGUAUCCUAUGGGUUGAUUUAUCAUGAAUUAGAUUGUGUGAUAAUUAUGAAAUCUACUUUAUUUUGA